GGUUAAGCGACUAAGCGUACACGGUGGAUGCCCUGGCAGUCAGAGGCGAUGAAGGACGUGCUAAUCUGCGAAAAGCGUCGGUAAGGUGAUAUGAACCGUUAUAGCCGGCGAUGUCCGAAUGGGGAAACCCAGUGUGAUUCGUCACACUAUCGUUAACUGAAUACAUAGGUUAACGAGGCGAACCGGGGGAACUGAAACAUCUAAGUACCCCGAGGAAAAGAAAUCAACCGAGAUUCCCCCAGUAGCGGCGAGCGAACGGGGAGCAGCCCAGAGUCUGAAUCAGCUUGUGUGUUAGUGGAACGGUCUGGAAAGUCCGACGGUACAGGGUGAUAGUCCCGUACACCAAAAUGCACAGGUUGUGAACUCGAAGAGUAGGGCGGGACACGUGGUAUCCUGUCUGAAUAUGGGGGGACCAUCCUCCAAGGCUAAAUACUCCUGACUGACCGAUAGUGAACCAGUACCGUGAGGGAAAGGCGAAAAGAACCCCGGCGAGGGGAGUGAAAAAGAACCUGAAACCGUGUACGUACAAGCAGUGGGAGCACCUUCGGGUGUGACUGCGUACCUUUUGUAUAAUGGGUCAGCGACUUAUAUUCUGUAGCAAGGUUAACCGUAUAGGGGAGCCGCAGGGAAACCGAGUCUUAACUGGGCGUUAAGUUGCAGGGUAUAGACCCGAAACCCGGUGAUCUAGCCAUGGGCAGGUUGAAGGUUGGGUAACACUAACUGGAGGACCGAACCGACUAAUGUUGAAAAAUUAGCGGAUGACUUGUGGCUGGGGGUGAAAGGCCAAUCAAACCGGGAGAUAGCUGGUUCUCCCCGAAAGCUAUUUAGGUAGCGCCUCGUGAACUCAUCUUCGGGGGUAGAGCACUGUUUCGGCUAGGGGGUCAUCCCGACUUACCAACCCGAUGCAAACUACGAAUACCGAAGAAUGUUAUCACGGGAGACACACGGCGGGUGCUAACGUCCGUCGUGAAGAGGGAAACAACCCAGACCGCCAGCUAAGGUCCCAAAGUCAUGGUUAAGUGGGAAACGAUGUGGGAAGGCACAGACAGCCAGGAUGUUGGCUUAGAAGCAGCCAUCAUUUAAAGAAAGCGUAAUAGCUCACUGGUCGAGUCGGCCUGCGCGGAAGAUGUAACGGGGCUAAACCAUGCACCGAAGCUGCGGCAGCGACACUAUGUGUUGUUGGGUAGGGGAGCGUUCUGUAAGCCUGCGAAGGUGACCUGUGAGGGUUGCUGGAGGUAUCAGAAGUGCGAAUGCUGACAUAAGUAACGAUAAAGCGGGUGAAAAGCCCGCUCGCCGGAAGACCAAGGGUUCCUGUCCAACGUUAAUCGGGGCAGGGUGAGUCGACCCCUAAGGCGAGGCCGAAAGGCGUAGUCGAUGGGAAACAGGUUAAUAUUCCUGUACUUGGUGUUACUGCGAAGGGGGGACGGAGAAGGCUAUGUUAGCCGGGCGACGGUUGUCCCGGUUUAAGCAUGUAGGCUGAUUGUCCAGGCAAAUCCGGAUAAUCAAGGCUGAGGUGUGAUGACGAGGCACUACGGUGCUGAAGUAACAAAUGCCCUGCUUCCAGGAAAAGCCUCUAAGCAUCAGGUAACAUCAAAUCGUACCCCAAACCGACACAGGUGGUCAGGUAGAGAAUACCAAGGCGCUUGAGAGAACUCGGGUGAAGGAACUAGGCAAAAUGGUGCCGUAACUUCGGGAGAAGGCACGCUGGUGUGUAGGUGAAGUCCCUGCGGAUGGAGCUGAGACCAGUCGAAGAUACCAGCUGGCUGCAACUGUUUAUUAAAAACACAGCACUGUGCAAACACGAAAGUGGACGUAUACGGUGUGACGCCUGCCCGGUGCCGGAAGGUUAAUUGAUGGGGUUAUCCGUAAGGAGAAGCUCUUGAUCGAAGCCCCGGUAAACGGCGGCCGUAACUAUAACGGUCCUAAGGUAGCGAAAUUCCUUGUCGGGUAAGUUCCGACCUGCACGAAUGGCGUAAUGAUGGCCAGGCUGUCUCCACCCGAGACUCAGUGAAAUUGAACUCGCUGUGAAGAUGCAGUGUACCCGCGGCAAGACGGAAAGACCCCGUGAACCUUUACUAUAGCUUGACACUGAACAUUGAGCCUUGAUGUGUAGGAUAGGUGGGAGGCUUUGAAGCGUGGACGCCAGUCUGCGUGGAGCCAACCUUGAAAUACCACCCUUUAAUGUUUGAUGUUCUAACGUUGGCCCCUUACCGGGGUUGCGGACAGUGUCUGGUGGGUAGUUUGACUGGGGCGGUCUCCUCCCAAAGCGUAACGGAGGAGCACGAAGGUUAGCUAAUCCUGGUCGGACAUCAGGAGGUUAGUGCAAUGGCAUAAGCUAGCUUGACUGCGAGCGUGACGGCGCGAGCAGGUGCGAAAGCAGGUCAUAGUGAUCCGGUGGUUCUGAAUGGAAGGGCCAUCGCUCAACGGAUAAAAGGUACUCCGGGGAUAACAGGCUGAUACCGCCCAAGAGUUCAUAUCGACGGCGGUGUUUGGCACCUCGAUGUCGGCUCAUCACAUCCUGGGGCUGAAGUAGGUCCCAAGGGUAUGGCUGUUCGCCAUUUAAAGUGGUACGCGAGCUGGGUUUAGAACGUCGUGAGACAGUUCGGUCCCUAUCUGCCGUGGGCGCUGGAGAAUUGAGGGGGGCUGCUCCUAGUACGAGAGGACCGGAGUGGACGCAUCACUGGUGUUCGGGUUGUCAUGCCAAUGGCACUGCCCGGUAGCUAAAUGCGGAAGAGAUAAGUGCUGAAAGCAUCUAAGCACGAAACUUGCCCCGAGAUGAGUUCUCCCUGAGACUUUAAGUCUCCUGAAGGAACGUUGAAGACGACGACGUUGAUAGGCCGGGUGUGUAAGCGCAGCGAUGCGUUGAGCUAACCGGUACUAAUGAACCGUGAGGCUUAACCUUACAACGCCGAAGAUGUUUUG
This 2922-nucleotide ribosomal RNA is filed under the name Klebsiella pneumoniae HK787. Its description in RNAcentral is "bacterial LSU rRNA". It matches the Rfam family "Bacterial large subunit ribosomal RNA". The record is from RNAcentral. Lineage: Bacteria; Pseudomonadati; Pseudomonadota; Gammaproteobacteria; Enterobacterales; Enterobacteriaceae.